Molecule: unclassified non-coding RNA, 421 nt
Filed under: Hevea brasiliensis (rubber tree)
Lineage: Eukaryota; Viridiplantae; Streptophyta; Magnoliopsida; Malpighiales; Euphorbiaceae
Source: RNAcentral
CUCUGUAGGAGGGCUUGCAGCAACAACCAACUGAUUCCCUCUUCUGAUUCUUAGACAUUCUCUUGGAACCCCAGGUGUCUUGAUAGAGUUACACAACAAUGAAGAGAAUCUAAAACAUUUUUCCUUCUGUUUAGAUGCCUCUAUUCUAUUAGUCACACCAAAAACCACAUUUUGACUUGUUUUACUUAUCUCAGUUGGAACACAAUAUGAUGGAUGCGCCUGGGAAACAAGCUUCAUACCUAAGUGAAGAAAAAAAGGGUGAAUUAGGGGUUAGGAUGUGAAGAAGGCGAUGAGAUUAGGGCUAGAGAGUUGGAAUCUCUGAGGUUUUAGGCUUCGGGCUGAUGCUCAGAGCCAGAGGCUCCUGCCAGUAGAAAGUUGUACAAAGGAAAAGGAAAAGGUUUUCUUUGGAGUGGAAGGAGAC